UCGAACGGCAGCACGGGGGCAACCCUGGGUGGCGAGUGGCGAACGGGUGAGUAAUACAUCGGAACGUGCCCAGUCGUGGGGGAUAACGUAGCGAAAGCUACGCUAAUACCGCAUACGAACUCUGGUUGAAGGCGGGGGAUCGCAAGACCUCGCGCGAUUGGAGCGGCCGAUGGCAGAUUAGGUAGUUGGUGGGGUAAAGGCCUACCAAGCCGACGAUCUGUAGCUGGUCUGAGAGGACGACCAGCCACACUGGGACUGAGACACGGCCCAGACUCCUACGGGAGGCAGCAGUGGGGAAUUUUGGACAAUGGGCGCAAGCCUGAUCCAGCCAUUCCGCGUGCAGGAUGAAGGCCCUCGGGUUGUAAACUGCUUUUGUACGGAACGAAACGGCCUGGGUUAAUACCUCGGGCUAAUGACGGUACCGUAAGAAUAAGCACCGGCUAACUACGUGCCAGCAGCCGCGGUAAUACGUAGGGUGCGAGCGUUA
RNAcentral lists this ribosomal RNA (487 nucleotides) under uncultured bacterium. RNAcentral describes it as "bacterial SSU rRNA". It matches the Rfam family "Bacterial small subunit ribosomal RNA", at positions 62 to 543 of the family's 1533-position model. The record is from RNAcentral.